Molecule: ribosomal RNA, 1485 nt
Filed under: uncultured organism
Description: 16S ribosomal RNA
Rfam family: Bacterial small subunit ribosomal RNA
Source: RNAcentral
UGAACGCUGGCGGCGUGCCUAAUACAUGCAAGUCGAACGAGUUCUGAUUAUUGAAAGGUGCUUGCAUCUUGAUUUUAAUUUUGAACGGGUGGCGGACGGGUGAGUAACACGUGGGUAACCUGCCCUUAAGUGGGGGAUAACAUUUGGAAACAGAUGCUAAUACCGCAUAAAUCCAAGAACCGCAUGGUUCUUGGCUGAAAGAUGGCGUAAGCUAUCGCUUUUGGAUGGACCCGCGGCGUAUUAGCUAGUUGGUGAGGUAACGGCUCACCAAGGCAAUGAUACGUAGCCGAACUGAGAGGUUGAUCGGCCACAUUGGGACUGAGACACGGCCCAAACUCCUACGGGAGGCAGCAGUAGGGAAUCUUCCACAAUGGACGCAAGUCUGAUGGAGCAACGCCGCGUGAGUGAAGAAGGCUUUCGGGUCGUAAAACUCUGUUGUUGGAGAAGAAUGGUCGGCAGAGUAACUGUUGUCGGCGUGACGGUAUCCAACCAGAAAGCCACGGCUAACUACGUGCCAGCAGCCGCGGUAAUACGUAGGUGGCAAGCGUUAUCCGGAUUUAUUGGGCGUAAAGCGAGCGCAGGCGGUUUUUUAAGUCUGAUGUGAAAGCCCUCGGCUUAACCGAGGAAGUGCAUCGGAAACUGGGAAACUUGAGUGCAGAAGAGGACAGUGGAACUCCAUGUGUAGCGGUGAAAUGCGUAGAUAUAUGGAAGAACACCAGUGGCGAAGGCGGCUGUCUGGUCUGUAACUGACGCUGAGGCUCGAAAGCAUGGGUAGCGAACAGGAUUAGAUACCCUGGUAGUCCAUGCCGUAAACGAUGAAUGCUAGGUGUUGGAGGGUUUCCGCCCUUCAGUGCCGCAGCUAACGCAUUAAGCAUUCCGCCUGGGGAGUACGACCGCAAGGUUGAAACUCAAAGGAAUUGACGGGGGCCCGCACAAGCGGUGGAGCAUGUGGUUUAAUUCGAAGCAACGCGAAGAACCUUACCAGGUCUUGACAUCUUUUGAUCACCUGAGAGAUCAGGUUUCCCCUUCGGGGGCAAAAUGACAGGUGGUGCAUGGUUGUCGUCAGCUCGUGUCGUGAGAUGUUGGGUUAAGUCCCGCAACGAGCGCAACCCUUAUGACUAGUUGCCAGCAUUUAGUUGGGCACUCUAGUAAGACUGCCGGUGACAAACCGGAGGAAGGUGGGGAUGACGUCAAAUCAUCAUGCCCCUUAUGACCUGGGCUACACACGUGCUACAAUGGAUGGUACAACGAGUUGCGAGACCGCGAGGUCAAGCUAAUCUCUUAAAGCCAUUCUCAGUUCGGACUGUAGGCUGCAACUCGCCUACACGAAGUCGGAAUCGCUAGUAAUCGCGGAUCAGCACGCCGCGGUGGAUACGUUCCCGGGCCUUGUACACACCGCCCGUCACACCAUGAGAGUUUGUAACACCCGAAGCCGGUGGCGUAACCCUUUUAGGGAGCGAGCCGUCUAAGGUGGGACAAAUGAUU